AUCCCAUUUAUAGAAGUAUAAAUCUUCUCCUUUUUA
Molecule: transfer RNA, 36 nt
Filed under: Ecphymacris lofaoshana
Lineage: Eukaryota; Metazoa; Arthropoda; Insecta; Orthoptera; Acrididae
Description: partial tRNA-Met
Source: RNAcentral